GGGCCCGCACAAGCGGCGGAGCAUGUUGCUUAAUUCGACGCAACGCGAAGAACCUUACCAAGGCUUGACAUGGCCUCAAAAGCCGCGGAGACGCGGUGUCCGCAAGGGGGGGUCACAGGUGGUGCAUGGCUGUCGUCAGCUCGUGUCGUGAGAUGUUGGGUUAAGUCCCGCAACGAGCGCAACCCUCGUCCUAUGUUGCCAGCGGGUAAUGCCGGGGACUCAUGGGAGACUGCCGGGGUCAACUCGGAGGAAGGUGGGGAUGACGUCAAGUCAUCAUGCCCCUUAUGCCUUGGGCUGCAAACAUGCUACAAUGGCCGGUACAAAGGGCUGCGAUGCCGUGAGGCGGAGCGAAUCCCGGAAAGCCGGCCUCAGUUCGGAUCGGGGUCUGCAACUCGACCCCGUGAAGUCGGAGUCGCUAGUAAUCGCGAAUCAGCAACGUCGCGGUGAAUACGUUCCCGGGCCUU
This 464-nucleotide ribosomal RNA is filed under the name uncultured bacterium. RNAcentral describes it as "bacterial SSU rRNA". It matches the Rfam family "Bacterial small subunit ribosomal RNA", at positions 917 to 1382 of the family's 1533-position model. The record is from RNAcentral.